Molecule: microRNA precursor, 205 nt
Organism: Oryza sativa Indica Group (long-grained rice)
Lineage: Eukaryota; Viridiplantae; Streptophyta; Magnoliopsida; Poales; Poaceae
Rfam family: MIR812 microRNA precursor family
Source: Rfam
UAUAAAUGUAAUUGUGGUUUUCCGUAUUUAGCGUUUGACCGCUCGUCUUAUUUGAAAAAAAAAUAUAAUUAGUAUUUUUAUUGUUAUUAGAUGAUAAAACAUGAGUAGUAUUUUAUGUGUGACUAUUUUUUUAAUUUUUUUAUAAUUUUUUUAAAUAAGAUGGACAAUCAAACGUAGGACACGGAAACUCACAAUUGCACUGAUA